This 5945-nucleotide long non-coding RNA is filed under the name Capsicum annuum. Its description in RNAcentral is "long non-coding RNA (CANN_LNC017252)". The record is from RNAcentral. Lineage: Eukaryota; Viridiplantae; Streptophyta; Magnoliopsida; Solanales; Solanaceae.
UCCCUCAUUCUUCAGUCGCACCCCGUUUCUCUGUACUCUCUCUCUAAACCAGCUCCACCUCACUGUUCCACCGCCGCCACCGGACGGUUGUCCUUUUCAAGACCACCAUCUGCCGUCCUCCUCACCCGGCGUCAACCCCUCAUCGGCGCCCCCUCUCUCCUUUUCUUCCGACAAGAAUAGCUACCCAACACCAGCAACAACCAACGACAGCAGCCGGCGGAGCAGCUAUAGUGGCUGCCGCUGCUCCAUCCUCCCCUCCUACGCCGGUGAAAUCACGGCAAAACACCCAACAACAAGCCAACCAGCGCCGCCUCUAUCCCGUUCGUGACAUCCUCGCCGAAGUUGAUGACCGGCGAGGUCUGUGAUUAUGGCCUGGUUUUGUCCCUUUUUUCUUAUCUCAAAUUGCAUGCUUUGCUUUCGAAUUAUCCGAAUCUGUCUCUUAUAUUUAAAAUUCGCGGUAUUUGACUCUGAAUUUGGAUUCAAAUCGUUUAAUUAUAAACGUGUUUAUGUUCAUCUCUAGAUUGUUAUAUGUGAAAACCCCUUUAAGUUAUACGAGUUUUAUCCUAAUCCUAAUGUUCGACUUGAAGGCUGAUUUCGGACAAUCCCUUAAUCUUGAUCCUCUCUUUAUGUCGCUGUUAUUGAGACAGUGUUGAAAUUAUGUUUUUCUUAUUGUUUCGUGGGUAAUCUUGAAAUGGUGAUUUGAUAUUCUGAUUUGUGUGCUCAAUAUCCUUAGAAAUUAGAAAUUAAUUAUAACGACCUUAUGAUAGCUUAUUUUUGGCAGAUUUGAAUUUAACAUGUUAGUGGAUUAUGUUUGGUAACUUUAGAGCUGACUUUGCACGUAAUUGCAAUCACCCAAUCAAGGAAUAUUUUAUAUUUUCUUCGAUUCUUCUGUUUUGGCAAAAUUAUAUGAUUGAUUCCGUUGAUUUUUCUGUUUGAUAAACACUAGGGUCGCUCAUAUUCUAUGUUAUUUAUUUUGCUUGCUUAUUUAUGGUAAUUCCUUGAUUUAAUUAAUUUCGUGUGAUUUGUGGUGGGUAUUUUUCUAACCUUUUUACUGAUUGCCUUUCCUUUCCUCCAACUUGGACAACUUUUCAUUAGUUUAUUUUGACAGUGUCGACGUAAUUUGUGAUACUAUGUUAAUUCAAAUUAGUGCAUUAAGGAAAAAAAUAUUCUGAUUGACUCUGCAAAAUGUUCUCCCUCCAUCCCUAUUUUGGGGAAAAUUUUCAACUCUUGGCCUAUAUAAAACCAACCACUUUUCAUUCUUAAAAGGGGGAACACACUCUAUAUUCUCUAUACUCUUUCACUCUCUAUACGAAAAUAAAGCUUUAAAUAUUCUUUCAAAAACAAAAUCACUUCUGAAUUGGCAUUCACUGUUGGAGAAUCGGUCUUGACUUUAUCUGCGUUGGUUCAUGCUUUAACUUUGUGCUACUUGGUUUUCCUAUUGUUGUUUGUUAUCUUCAACUAGUAAGUUCCUGCCGAUGCAACUUUUAUUCCUUAUGUGAUGAUGCUAGAAAACAUGCCUCUAGAAACUAUGUAGUAUUUGUACUUAAUUUGCUGUGUCUUUGUUUCCUUGUUUCUGUGUUUUUGAAGCACUGUGUGGGGUAUUCGCCCCUUUUCCUUUGUGCUACUUUAUUUAUGACAAACAGGUAUAAUUAGAGAUGUUGAGGGAUUGGAAGAGUCGCCGGGAGUUUAUGGGAAAAGGGGGUUGUUCAUUCCCUUUUAUUUAUUUAUUUAUUUGUUCAUUUUUUAUUAAUUCAUUGUAUCGUAACAGCUUUUGUAAAUCUCUAUUAUGUAAUAAUAAAAGGGGGGGACUACUUGUAGGGUUGGGGAUUACGUUAUUUAUUUGCUUGCAUGAAUUACUUAGGCAAAUAUAAUGUAGGAUUAAUAAUAAACUUUAUAUCACCUAGAAAUCAUGUUUUAGGAGCUUUAAUCAACCUUCGACAUAUUAAAUUAAGUACGAAUGUGUCAGUUUAAUUUACAGCAUGUUUAAUUUUUAAACAAAUUUUUGACAUGUUAUAAACAUACUUUCAGUCUUCAUUUUGUUUCUACAGCACGCUUAUGUUAUUUUCACACGUUUUAUUAACUUUCGGCCUUUGAAUUAAUUUUCAGCAACUAGAUAUUAAUUUUUCCGCAACUAUAACUUAAUUUUCAGUAUUUAAAUAAUAUUUCAGCAUAUUUAAUAUUAUUUCCAGCAAUCAAAAGUAAAUUUCAGCGCACGAAAAUCUUUUUUUAGUUUAUUGGCAUAAUAAUCAAACAUGUCUAUUUAUGCUUUUCAACCAAAAGUUAUUUGUGCAUGAUAGGUUGAUAAUUUUAUUUUGCACUAUUUAAGUUUCAACAAAUCCAUCAUACCUUUGUCUAACACUUUUUAGGUUUUAAAUUAGGCAAAAUAAUCUUCUGGACCCCUGUACUAUAUCGGUUUUGUAAGUUGGACACUUCUACGUAGAUGUUUGUCAUCUGGACCCUUGAACUCAUUAAAAAACAACAUUUUAAAUAUUUUUUUGGUGAGUGUAAUGCACUCGCCACUUCAGCUUCCACGUCAUUUUUAUUUUUAAAUAUAAAAAAUAUUAAAAUAAAUAAAUAAUUAAAUAAAUAAAUAAAUAAACCCCUCCCCCUUCCUCUCUCUUCCCCAUUUUUCUGAUUUGCAUUUCUUCUUCUUCCUUUUCUUAUGGUUUUCCCUCCUCUUCUCCUUCUUCUUUUCGUUCAUCAUUUUAAUCUUCUUAUUCUUCUCACUCUUUGAAAAAAUUGAAAAGAAACGCUCAAGCACUAAGAGGCCAAAAAAAGCACAAUUUUUUUUCUUUUGUUGCACAAUUUCUGGCAAUUCUUGAAGCUUUUCGUUCACCGAUUUGUUUGUGUUUGAGCUUUGGUUGUUGAAGAUGAUGAUGAUCUAAAGAUUACUCAAUUUGUAGCAGCUGAUGAUUAGAUUUUUAUUGUUUGUUUGGAAAAAUUGAGAAGUGAGAGUCAAAGAAGAAAGAUUCUUGUUAUUUGAUUCUUGUUGUUUAUUUGGAAAAAUUGAGAAGUGAGAAUCGAAGAAGAAAUAAAACCACGUCAUUUGUUUGUUUGUUUCUUGUUGAUUCUUUAUCUUCAUCUUCUGAUUCUUGUUGGUUGUGUUGAUUUGUUUGGAAAAAAAUUUCUCAAAGUUCUAUUCGAUUGUAUUGAUUUNNNNNNNNNNNNNNNNNNNNNNNNNNNNNNNNNNNNNNNNNNNNNNNNNNNNNNNNNNNNNNNNNNNNNNNNNNNNNNNNNNNNNNNNNNNNNNNNNNNNNNNNNNNNNNNNNNNNNNNNNNNNNNNNNNNNNNNNNNNNNNNNNNNNNNNNNNNNNNNNNNNNNNNNNNNNNNNNNNNNNNNNNNNNNNNNNNNNNNNNNNNNNNNNNNNNNNNNNNNNNNNNNNNNNNNNNNNNNNNNNNNNNNNNNNNNNNAUUUUUAAAUUAAAAAACUGAAAAAAAGCUUUAAUCCUUUUUUUUUAUUUUUUUAAAUUAUUUUAAUAUAAAAUUGGCCAAAAAUUGACCCUCACUCGUACUCCAGGCGAGUGACUAUACUCUCCAAGUUCCCAGUCGGCACUUUAAUGCCACAUAGGCAAAGUCAACGGUCAAAGGGUUUGAAAUGUUGCUUUUUAAUGGGUUCAGGGGUCCAGAUUACAAACAUGUAAGUAGAAGUGGCCAACUUACAAAACAGACAUAGUACAGGGGUCCAGAUUACAAACAUGUAAGUAGAAGUGGCCAACUUACAAAAUCGACAUAGUACAGGGGUCCAGAAGCUCAUUUUGCCUAUACUUAUAACAUGUCAACCUGUCUUUGGACAUUAGAGAUAUGCUUAUAGGCCUAAUCAUAUAAAACGAAUAAUGUUUUUUUAGCAAGUUAAUCACCUUAAUCAACUUUUAAUUAAUCAAAAGGCUUAAUUUAGACUACUACGUGCUACUUGUUGCCCAAUAUAUUUUACGUGCUUUGAAUCUAACUAGGAAGCCUAUGUUUAUUUGUCUAGACCUUAAAUUCAAAGUAGAAAAGUCCAAUGCCUCUUAGAUGAUAGGUUGGGACGGUAGGCAUUCUAGGAAACACUAGUUUUAUUCUUUCUUUUCUAGAAUGUUGUUAGGCUUUACAAUCAAUAGGCUAGGUGUGGGGUGGGUAGGCAUUCAGAGGCGAUAAUAACUCAAAUAUAAUUAGACACUGCAACACAUGUCACGGUCAGCUGUUUAUAAUCCGACUGCUGGUUAAUGGGCCGGGUAAUGAUUAACAAAUUGGCUACUGAUCCGAAUAAACGACAUAACUCCUUGGUUUGAUCAGUCGAACUUGUUUUUCUUUCUUUUUCAAUUACUUUAUAUGUUUGGGGUAGUUUAGGAUCUUUAGUUUAAUAUAAAUAUUUUGUUAUAAAUUAUGUCCUUUCUCUCUCCUCGCUUGUCAUAUUUAUGUGCUUUAUUGAUUUUAUCACUUAGAUAAUUUAUAAUAAUUAAAUUACAUUUUUUGUUUUUCCACUUAGUAAUAUUUAAAUUAAUAAAAAAUAAUUGAUCUUUGUUUAUCACAUAAAAUUUUCACGUAAAGUAUGAAUUUUACUGGGAACCACAUUUGUGGACCUCGAAAGAUGCCUAACACCUUUCUUUCGAGGUAAGUUGAACCCUUAUCCGAUUUUCUAGUGAACUAAAAUAAAUAACAAAAAUAGAUUCAUAGUUAACUUAGAAUGGUACCUAAUGCACAUUAAUUCAUUGGGUGUGACAUACUACCUAGUUCCCUUUGUAUAUUGAAUUUAGAACUUGCCUGGUUAGUCUUGCCUAUGUUGAAAGAUAGUCGGUUAGGAAAGGAUCAUAGGCCCGUUAUGUUAGUUCACUUUUAGCCUAAAUGACCCUCCAUGUGUGAAUUAUAUCUCUUAAUCCUUAUUAUGAGCCUUGUAACCUAUUUUUCUUGUUCAUCAUUCACCUUCCCAUUUAUAGUACAAUGAAUCUGUUUUGGCCAUCCUUGGACAUUGUGCACCUCAACUCAGGCAAAAUGCCUAAGUUGAGGGUGACUAUCAUAAGGGUACGUAGUGUAAAAUGGAUAUGAAGAAGGGUAAAAUAAGAGAAAAAUUUAGCAGGGCUGGGUGUGGUAGAAAAAGAAAAGAAAAAAAAUUAUAAAAAAAUAAAAAAAAAUAAAAGACCACCCCCAAUCUGAAUGUGCAUAAAAGAAUAAAAAAGGAGAAAUAAGGGUUAAAUAAAAAGGAGAUUGUCUAGUAAAUGAGACCCCAAAGUUAGUGUAGUACCAAAGAGGUUUAGUCACUUGAUAUGUCCAUAUGUACCAUACCAGCCCCCAAGCCUACGUUACAAGCUAAAUAAAUUUCUAUAAUGAUCUUAACUUGACUAUCGGAAUGCUAAGGUAAAGAAAAUAAGCGCAAGCCUAUGGUAUUUGACAUGGAUUGAUUGGAACUUCUCUUCUGAGUGCGAGUGUAUCUUGGCUGUCCCUGCAUUAACAUGCAUGAUUUCAUAUGAGUGAGUGGGACAUUCUUGUUGUGAGGACACUUGAGUCAUAUUGCUAGUUAUUUGUUUGUUUCGGAUAGUGUAACUUGUAUAUAUAAGUGGUUAUCUGUUGCUAAUGUAAUUGCCAUACCUUAAUCCCAGUGUGUCACAUUGUUGUGCUUCAUGUUCACACACAGUUGGUUUUAAAAAACAAGAUUGGAGAGGGUUGUUGUGUUUGGAGCUUUACAUGUUGACUAACUGCCUUGGAUAACUUAGUUUCUCCUAGUUAAACGUCGUUUUUAUUUUUGUUGUGCUUUGUUGCCUGAGGAUAUGCGAACAUUCUAAGUUGAUGAUGUUGAUGUGCUAUAGAAAUAUAACUCUUUCGAUGCUUAAAAUGAGGAAAAGAUGUAUGUUUCUAAGAUUAUUUUGUUAGAUAUGAUGUCUUUUGGGUAUGUUUUGUAGGAAACCAUGUUUUGGAUGAUAAGUUUGUGACAAAGGUAUUUUUGGCCAUUUUUGAAGCAAUUAUGGAUAUUCG